RNAcentral lists this transfer RNA (77 nucleotides) under Oceanidesulfovibrio indonesiensis. RNAcentral describes it as "Desulfovibrio indonesiensis tRNA-Pro". It matches the Rfam family "tRNA". Rfam says of the family: Transfer RNA (tRNA) molecules are approximately 80 nucleotides in length. Their secondary structure includes four short double-helical elements and three loops (D, anti-codon, and T loops). Lineage: Bacteria; Pseudomonadati; Thermodesulfobacteriota; Desulfovibrionia; Desulfovibrionales; Desulfovibrionaceae. The record is from RNAcentral.
CGGGGCGUAGCGCAGCCUGGCAGCGCACCUGCCUUGGGAGCAGGGGGUCGUCCGUUCAAAUCGGACCGCCCCGACCA